Molecule: ribosomal RNA, 441 nt
Filed under: uncultured bacterium
Lineage: Bacteria
Description: bacterial SSU rRNA
Rfam family: Bacterial small subunit ribosomal RNA
Source: RNAcentral
GAACGCGAAGAACCUUACCCGGGUUUGACAUGCUUGGAUGCCUCCGGGGGAUAACUCCGGUAGGCUGCCCUUCGGGGUGAAACUUGCACAGGUGUUGCAUGGCUGUCGUCAGCUCGUGCUGUGAAGUGUCGGGUUAAGUCCUCUAACGAGCGAAACCCCUGUCGCUAGUUGCCAGCGGGUCAUGCCGGGGACUCUAGGCGAGACUGCCGGCGUCAAGCCGGAGGAAGGUGGGGACGACGUCAAGUCAUCAUGGCCUUUAUGCCCGGGGAUGCACACGUGCUACAAUGGCGUGCACAGAGGCGAAGCGAUACCGCGAGGUGGAGCAAAUCGCAAAAAACACGCCCCAGUUCGGAUUGGGAGUCUGCAAUUCGACUCCAUGGAAGUUGGAAUCGCUAGUAAUCGCGCAUCAGGCACGGGGGCGGUGAAUGUGGUUCCUGAGGC